UACGUAGGGCGCAAGCGUUGUCCGGAAUUAUUGGGCGUAAAGAGCUCGUAGGCGGCUUGUCACGUCGGGUGUGAAAGCCCGGGGCUUAACCCCGGGUCUGCAUUCGAUACGGGCUAGCUAGAGUGUGGUAGGGGAGAUCGGAAUUCCUGGUGUAGCGGUGAAAUGCGCAGAUAUCAGGAGGAACACCGGUGGCGAAGGCGGAUCUCUGGGCCGGUACUGACGCUGAGGAGCGAAAGCGUGGGGAGCGAACAGG
Molecule: ribosomal RNA, 253 nt
Filed under: uncultured bacterium
Lineage: Bacteria
Description: partial 16S ribosomal RNA
Rfam family: Bacterial small subunit ribosomal RNA
Source: RNAcentral